AAAUCAACCAAAAUCCAGCGAAAUUCGCUGGAUUUUGGUAGAUUUUUUUCCUGAAUGUUCUUGAAGAAACAUAUUUUUUGAACAUUUCUUUUUUUUCCCCACCAAAAAAUGUUCAAAAAUUACCCAAAAAUGUUGAAAAUGUGGAAGUUUUCACUGUGAAAAUAUUUUUUUUUCCCACAUUUUCAAACUUUAAAACGGGUCAAUUUGACCCACAGGACGACACGAGGGUUAAACAACAAAUCAAGCAAAUAUUCCCCAUUUCCAGCCUUUCAAAUUGGUGGAUCUUCAAAUUUUGAAUGAUUGGUGAGACAAAACAUGCAAUUUUAAGAUGUCAUCUUCAAAGUUUGGCUCUAGAAACUAAUUUUAGUAUGUGGUAUCAAACCUUUUUGCUUGUGUACCCACUUAAAAAUGAAACAACAGCUGCUUAUUUGUGUCUAGUAGUUCAAAAUGUGAUAGAAAAUAAUUGAUCAGAACUACGAGAUGCAGGCUUUUAUCAUCAUAAUGUGGAGAAAAAAAAUGGAGACUAACACUCGAAAUGCUGAAGUGUCCCUUUAAGUUAAAACGAGAAGUGAGCCUUCAUUAUUUUUCCGUGGUGCUAAGCCGAUCAACAACAAAAAAAAAAAAGACAAAUCAGUUCAUUUUUGCUGCAAAACUGGCGAAUAGAAUCAGUGACGCGCAACAGAAGCAGCCGCAUCGGUAUUCAUAUGGUGCAACACUCUCAAGCUACAGAGUCAAUCGGCUGCUAAUCCCACUUCAUAUGGUGCAAAUAUGAAAACACACGUACUUAUGGUGCAAUAAGGGCAGAUUGUCUCUUUGAAUUCUAUGGUGCAACUUGAGUACUGCCUUCAGUUGUCGGCCAAGGCUGUGCCAAAGGCUCCGUCCAAAUGGACAACUGCUCUUCCUGUCCUGCAGAAGCUAUGCAAGUCUCCGACGCAGGGAGAUGUGCUUAGUGUACACACAACACACACAUAUACACACAGACACACAGACACACAGGGUUUUCCUCUGCAGCAGGGAGAUAUGCUUCAUAAAUACACAAUGAAAAGUAGUGUCACAACAUGAGAUGUGCCCCUACCUCACUGCACACACACAAACACACACACCAAUCUCCAAUAAUCCCUUACCCCUUUAUAAUUUGGGAACAAUAUUCAUAUGGUGCUAUUGAGUAAAGUCGGAUGGUUUUUGUAUAGUCGUGGUUCCAGUGAAGAAUUUAGCCAAAUAUGUUUAGAAAACCUGACAUUCAGACCGCAAAUUCUGGGUUUCCCAGAGUGCACAUUAACCCUCGUGUUGUCCUGCGGGUCAAAAUUGACCCGUUUUAAAGUGUGAAAAUGUGGGGAAAAAAAUAGAUUUUCACAGUCAAACUUCUCAUGUCCACAUUUUCAACAUUUUUGGGAAAUUUUUGAACAUUUUUUGGUGGAAAAAAGAAAUGUUAAAAAUGUUCUUAAAGAAAAUAUUAGAAGUUUUACUCAUAUAUCUGUAAUCACUAGAUAUUUUUAGGAUUUUUUUGGAAGAUUUUUAUUCAUUUUUUGAAAAUAUUUACAAGAAUUGUCAAUGCCAAAUUUGGUUUGUUUUUGACAAUAAAACUUUCAAGGGAAACUUUUAAGGAAUUAUUGGAAUUUUCUUCCUUAUGGUUUUGCAAAAUUUUCAGAAAUUUGGGGAAUUUUUUUGCUGGAUUUUUUUCAGACAAGGAAACUGUAUUUUUUGGUGCCCGUAAAUGAGGACAACAGGAGGGUUAAAACAGCAACAAUUCUGUCUCUGUGAAAAAAAAACGAGCGACACAUAAAAGCUACAAUGCCUUAUCCGCUCGCCUGAAGAUAACCGAGAACGUACGAGGGUGGAGCCACUUUUUAUGUGUGCUCUAAUCCAGACAUGCACUGUACAUUAAGCAUGGUGUCAGAAAUCAAAGGAGAACAGCAUACUGUGUUAGCACGUCAUCCUAAAAAAUGAAUAUGUGCCAUGUCGAGAACACAGUCAGGCAUUUCUUGUUCGUUUCACAGAUUGUGCUCGUGAAUUCCUUGCAUGAAUGUUCUAGAUUUGAGGGCACAAACGAACAGGUUUGGAGAGUCACAGCUUGUGCUUCUGGGUUGUUAAAGGGAGAUUUAUUUUUGAGCUUCAGAGCAGCUGUCCCCGCUAGAUUUCUUUCUCCCCCCGAGCACUGACCUCUGAUCCUUUAACCCCAAACCACGGCCUCCUUUUGCACCCAGAGCUACAGCCAAUCAGAGAUCAGGUUUAUUACAGCCAAAUCAGGUCGGACACAACCAAAUAAUACAGCUCCUUUUUUUUUUUUUUUUACACAAGUUUGUAGCAUUCAGACUCGACUACGACCUCAUAAUCAAAGUGCAGGUAUCUUCACCCAGCAGUCAAAAACUCAUCCACACUGGGUCUACAGUUGAGUCUGCACUGCCACAAAAUAAAAGCUUUUUUUUGUUGUUUUUCCACCCAGAAAACCAGAGCCUUAGCCAGGCCCCACUCUGUAUGAAAUUAAAUUCCAGUCAGUGUAUGGCAUCCACAGCUAUGCAAGCUUACAGGCAAGAAGGUUCUGGGCUUAGAUAACCUUUACAAAAAAUAGCACAUCGCUAUUCUCAUGUAUUUUAGUGUUAUUUUUGCCUCUUUUUUUGGUAGUUUGCAAAGAAGAAGUGACGAAAAAGAUGAAACCACAAUGUGAUGUACCAUUUGUUUACAUUUUUUAAGCUUUUUGCAUUUGUUUAUGAUAAUUUGGUCACUUUUUAUGGACUUGUUUUAUAUUUCUCUGUCAAGAUUGUCCUUUGAUGGGUUCAAAUUGGUCAGGAGGGGAAAACUUGUGUAAUGUACCUUCACCUUGGGAAUAACUGGGAUGAAUGCAGCCUCCCGACUGAGGAAUGUGCAUCUUAUUGUGAAAAUUUAAACCAGAAAGUUAUUUUUUCUUUGGAUAAAUACAUAAAUGUUCCACUAUCAGGGUCUGCAAAGCAUAUGAGGCCUGUGGUAAGGCUGUGUAUGAUGUACGUGUAUGUGCGAGUGCAAGUACGUGUCACUAAUGCUUCAUAUGCUUUUUUUUCAGCCAAAGUUUUACUUGCUUGGUCCAGAGCUGUGAAAGUAUCAUUACUCAUCAUGGUUUUGUGGGACUUGAGGCCAGACGCUAAGCUGUUUCUGAUCUCAGACCAGUUUCUACCAGAUCUGAGUCCAACGACAAUUCUUUCCUUUUGGAACCGAAGGGGGUUUUCGCUUGUUUUGGCACAAAUACUCAGAUUUAAUCAGAAAAUAAGCGGAAAGGAUUUCAGUGGUUUGACUCAGGUUUGGAUUCUACAAGCACAGGGCAGGGUCAAACUAAACCCUAAAAUGGAUGUAUCUAUAAGAUGUACCAUGAGCUUUUAUUUUGUCGGGGUCAUGCUUUUCUACUGUGUUCUUCAGCUUGGAAAAAAAAGUAGCUCUAGCAAAUUUGAUGUGCAAAAGUAGCUUUUAUUUUCUCGUGGUUUGCAUUUUGAUUGUAAAUACCUUUUUCUGGUAAUCGUCCUCAGUUGGAUCUAUGUUCCAUGGGUUUGCUUAGAUGGCUCUUUCAAAUGUAAUGAUAGUAAAUGUUCUUUAUAAAUAUCCAGAAUGUAAAAUGAGAGAAGAAAAAUACAGCUCGACUGGAAACUGUGUUUUCGUAGGAAUCUGUGCCAUCGUGUUGUCAUGAGUGUAAGCAUACUGAUAUUAGAUCUGUAGACGGGAUGAAGUUUUUGGAGCUGAUUUGCCAGACAGCUAUAGUCAUGCUUUGGCUCAGUUUCUUUCUAAAAGAGUCCAAAUUAAACAAAAUGAGAAGUAAUUUGUUUAUUGUGUCGCUAAAGACAUUGCUUUUUAAUCUCUCUGCAAUGAAGUCCUCCACAAGUGUAUGAUUAUUGAAGACAAUAUAAUUUAACCAUUAGCAUUUUCUGAUUUUGCAAAAAUGUCAAUUUAAAACUGUACAUUUUGUGCCCAGUGGCUAAGUAUUUAGUUUCAGCUCGCAUGAAAGAUGGGAGCAGAGGGAAACAGCUAAUUAGCUUGCUAGGUAGCUUUGUCAAAAGAUCGCAACUAGCAAAGAGCCAAAUCAACUUCUGCUUCUUAAAAAAAUGUCACAUAUCAGGUUGUGUAUAGACUAAAUUAAGUAAAAAAGAUAAAGUAUUACUCUGUUAAAAUGUAGACCUAUAGGUUAGCUAUUUGACCUACUUCGUGUUGUUAUGCUAAUGACUAAUUAGCUAGAUAGCAUACUCUAAACAUGACGUUAUGGAUAUAUGAAAAAAAUGUUCACAUAUCUAGUUGUGUAUGGGCUAACCUAAAAAAGGGGGGAUAAACUAUUAAAUGGUUAAAAUUUAGAAGUGCUGGUUUGCACACUUUUUAAAAAAUAACUAGGGAGCCAAGCUAGCUGUUUUCGCUCUAUAUGCUAACGGCUAAUUAGCGAUUUAGCCUGGUCUAGCCAAAGAUAGUAACAAGCAGAGACAUAAAAGUGACACGUUAUGAGAAAAAAGAACACAUAUUUGGUUUUGUAUGAAUUAAAAUAAUAAAAUAAAGUCACAAAGUAUUAUUUGGUUAAAAAUUUAGAUGUGCUGGUUCUAGAAUUUUUUUUUUUAAAUAAGACCUAAAAUGUUGGACUAAGCAAGGCUAGCUGUUUUCCCUGUUAGCUAACUAGUUCACUAGCUCUGGCAAAAGACGGCAAAGAGACCAAGAAGUUGUUUCGAAGUUGCUGCUUAUAACAUUUAAAUUAAAAUCCACUUACCUGGUUGUGUAUGGAUUAAACAAACAACAAAAAGAUACAUUACCUACUGGCUUCCUUUUUUUUUUUUAAAGAAUUGAAGGCAGAGCUGGGCUGUUUCUUCUGCUUCCGUUUUUGUGCUAAAUGAAUCUCUAGACUUUAGCUUCAUGUUAGCAUACAGCAUACAUAAGAGUGGUGUUUUAUCUUUAGUAAUUUCCAGCCAAAAUGACAUAAAGUGUUACAUAAAUUUUCCGAAAUAUAAAAUGGUUCCUUUAAAAUAAGGUUAAACAGGCAUUUAUUGCAAAUACAUAGGUUUGCAUUAGAUAUAAGUGUAACAGUAUUGGCAAAAUGUUUCACCCAAAUUCCAAAUUUUAGCUUAGCAUAAAGGCAGGAAGUUAUGAAUGAAACCUAGCCUGGCUCUGACCAAAAAUUUGUCAACCAGAAACUCUAAAAUUCACUAUACCUUGUUUUACUUAUUCAAAACUUAAGAACCAUAUUAGCCGUUUCCUUCAGUUUCCAGCUAACACCAGCUAACUCAAUGACACCAAAGCCAUGUAGCCCAGGUGACUGUGAUAAAAAACAUCCAACAAUUACCUGAUUUCACACCUGAGCUGUCUGGCCAACAUCUCCUGACUUCACUGUAGAAAUGAUGGCUGCCGUCAUUAACCGUGUUCAAACCACUCCUGCGUCAGCUCAUAAACACACCAUUCAGGAAUCUUCUGGUUUUUGGGGAUGGAUUUCCCAAACUCACACCAAAUAUCUCAGACCAACCACAAACGAGACGGGAGAGAAACGAGAAGACACGUGGUGUAUCUCUGGUUUGUCUGUGUAUUCUGUGUCUAUGAUAGUGUAAAAGCAUUCUGGGGAAGAGUUGAAUGAUAUUUUCAAUGGCUCUAGGUGGCCAGCAUUAGGAAAUGUGUUAUUUUUGUUACAAUACCUCCUGAAAAUAAAGUCUAUUUAUCUGUGAAGAGACAAAGAUUUACAAUAAUACAGAUGACUACAUAGAAAUUAUGACAGAUUUUAAAUGAUGUAAAACAGAUAUAAAUGAAAACAUGUACAGUUCAUUUGGUUUUGAACACGAUACAGAAAUGUAUAUGCGUCAGUAUUGAGUUUGAUUUUAUAUAUUUACCAUUUUAUUACAUUGUAAUGUUGUGACUGCGAUGGAGAAAAAAAAAUAUAAAGGAAU
Amphiprion ocellaris (clown anemonefish) is the source of this 5870-nucleotide long non-coding RNA. The record is from Ensembl. NCBI's taxonomy places the organism in Eukaryota, Metazoa, Chordata, Actinopteri, Pomacentridae.